GAUGAACGCUGGCGGCGUGCCUAAUACAUGCAAGUCGAACGAAGCUUCUUUAUCACCGAGUGCUUGCACUCACCGAUAAAGAGUUGAGUGGCGAACGGGUGAGUAACACGUGGGCAACCUGCCCGAAAGAGGGGGAUAACACUUGGAAACAGGUGCUAAUACCGCAUAACCAUGAACACCGCAUGGUGUUUAUGUGAAAGGUGGUUUCGGCUACCGCUUUCGGAUGGGCCCGCGGCGUAUUAGCUAGUUGGUGGGGUAAAGGCUUACCAAGGCAAUGAUGCGUAGCCGAACUGAGAGGGUGAUCGGCCACAUUGGGACUGAGACACGGCCCAAACUCGUACGGGAGGCAGCAGUAGGGAAUCUUGCACAAUGUGCGAAAGCCUGAUGGAGCAACGCCGCGUGGGUGAAGAAGGUCUUCGGAUCGUAAAACCCUGUUGUCAGAGAAGAAAGUGCAUGAGAGUAACUGUUCAUGUUUCGACGGUAUCUGACCAGAAAGCCACGGCUAACUACGUGCCAGCCGCCGCGGUAA
RNAcentral lists this ribosomal RNA (529 nucleotides) under uncultured bacterium. RNAcentral describes it as "partial 16S ribosomal RNA". It matches the Rfam family "Bacterial small subunit ribosomal RNA", at positions 28 to 523 of the family's 1533-position model. The record is from RNAcentral.